ACAUGACUCAUCACGUGACAGUGACCUGUUAUUCCUGAGCAUAGGAGCUCCUCAAGUAAAUGUUUCACCAUCUUACAGCCCAGUGGCAGUGAUUCCAAGUAGCCCUGAGUUGUUGCUUCCACCAGAAGACCGAACUUCCGAUGUUCCAGCCACUUGUACAGUUACUCCGAGUGUAGCACCAGUUCCAUCUAGCUCUCUUCCUGCUCCCUCUACGAGUUCUGAUACAAGAAAUGUGGUGGUGCGAAAAACAACCCGGUCCACAGCUGGCCAGCAUUCAAACAUCCAUCAUCUCCCAAGACCAACAGGGGAGGUGGCACAAGGGGCUGCUAACUCUAUUUCUGAGCCUAGGGUACAUGCUGUCUCUGCAUUUUUUAGGCCUUGGGACUAAUCUGGGUGUCUUUGUAAUUCAUCGUCGGGGCGACGAUGCAAGAAGGAGGGGUAGAAUGUGGCAGGAUGAAUGUUAUCCCUCGGUCCAACCCACUUUCAGCCUGGCCCAUUAGGGGGCGCUGGUAUAAAUAGUGGCCAUUUGAGUGUCUCUGCAUUGCUUGCCUGUGAUCUCCUUUUUGGUCACCUGACUUCCUCGGUGUGGUAGAGAUCGUUUGUGGGUUACUCCUCUAAAGUCUCCAUCGCGGCUGGUCGUAGCUAUAGAAGCCUCCUCUGAGCUAUUCUGCUUACAUUCUAUGACCCGGCUUACUUGGAAGAGUGGGCCUUAGUUUUGCGCCAAGCUACGUGAACUGAAGUGCUGCUGUUUUGCCUUGCUGUGCUUUUACUGUCUGUUCCCGUUGUGAGAAUUCUUCCCUGCUGCUGUCAGCUUUUACAGUGGACGUCGGCGUGGACAACGGCCAUAUGCAUGCCGGUUAUCGGAGUCAGCUGGCGUGCAUAUUGAUUGACUGUUAACUUAUCGUCGUGUGGACGGCAAGUUGGAGCAGUACGGCGAUUCCGUUUGCUCCAGAUUUUAGAGUUUUAUUCAGAUUAUGCGGAGUGCCGACGUGGAGGAGACUAGGGUGCCUUGGUGGUGGGAUCCCUUGAGUGUACACACCUGCCUUGUUUAGUUUAUUAGUGUGAGUGUGUGUGAUAGUAUGUUGCACUUGUGUUUUGGGUGUGUUUUCUUUCUUUAGU
This is a non-coding RNA of Maylandia zebra (zebra mbuna), 1119 nucleotides long. The record is from RefSeq and is a predicted model, not a curated record. Lineage: Eukaryota; Metazoa; Chordata; Actinopteri; Cichliformes; Cichlidae.